UAAAUUUCAAAUAAUAUAUGGUAUUCCAGUAUAGAUAUUUGAUUAUAUUUUUUUCCAACAAAUAUCGGAUCGUUGGCGCUAACCAUUAAUUUCAAAAGCUCAAGCUAUUAGAAAUACGCAACCAAUUUACUUAAAAUGUACAGAUACAAUGUUCACGGGUCUCAAUUAUGACUCGGUCCAACCAGCCUCACUCCACUUCGAACAUGACUCGGCCCACCAAACCUUACGAUAUUUCGAAUAUAACUCGGCUCAAUAUGACCUCUUACUAUAGAACAGGAUACUAGCUCAUGUAAGCUAACAAUAAAUACUAUAACCUUCUUUAGUAAAUU
Molecule: long non-coding RNA, 329 nt
Filed under: Ananas comosus (pineapple)
Lineage: Eukaryota; Viridiplantae; Streptophyta; Magnoliopsida; Poales; Bromeliaceae
Description: long non-coding RNA (ACOM_LNC013080)
Source: RNAcentral